Molecule: ribosomal RNA, 663 nt
Filed under: Triticum aestivum (bread wheat)
Lineage: Eukaryota; Viridiplantae; Streptophyta; Magnoliopsida; Poales; Poaceae
Description: partial small subunit ribosomal RNA
Source: RNAcentral
AUGGCCAUUGCAGGGGUAGCCACUGAGCUCCUCGGAUUGACCCCGUGGCACAUGCCCGCUCCUAUGCGCGCCCAUGCCCGAGCCUUCAGUUCUUCUUCCGCGCUCGUGGGGCCACUCCCUCUCUGGCUCUCCAUGCCCACGCACAUGCCACACCGCGUCCGUCGCGCCCGCCGUUGCCAUCACGCUCGCCACAGCCACCGCACCACUUUGCCCCGCGCGAUGCACACCCUGGCCGCACGUCACACUCUCGCUGGCUGCGCUCACCCCGUCUGCUGCCGUCUAUCCCUUCGCUCGCCCCACUGUCGUGCCCCUGCUUCGCGCCGCCUCCUAUCGCGGCCAUCUUCUGCCGACCGCCCCCUCAGCCACGCCGGCCGCAUCUCUGCCCUCCACCGUCGGCCGCUCGCCUUGCCUGAUGCGUGCUUCUUCCUGCUGCUAUGCGCUGCUCUACCACUGGUAUGCUGUUGCGCCAUGCCCUCGACACCGCCGUGGACAAACGUGGCGGAGGGAUUGUCAAUGAAGUACGAGGAGGAGGUGGCGGAGAAGGUGUGGAGAGGCAAGAGGUCUAGGGUGGCGUCAGCUGGCUGUGGUGGAGGUGAUUAUGCGAGCAGGAGCCGGAGCGGAAGGAGAGGUCACAUUUGGAAAGAAUCGCAAAAAAAAUCAUAA